GAAAGGGCGUGGCGGAUUAUGCACGCCUGGGCUGGGAUAUCGGGAGAUGAUAACCCGGUAGGAUGCACAUGACACCAAAAGUCAGAGAGAAUCUCUGCAGAGCAUCCGCAGCCUCAGUUAAA
Lachnoclostridium sp. An298 is the source of this 122-nucleotide non-coding RNA. The record is from Rfam. Lineage: Bacteria; Bacillati; Bacillota; Clostridia; Lachnospirales; Lachnospiraceae.